RNAcentral lists this ribosomal RNA (254 nucleotides) under uncultured microorganism. Its description in RNAcentral is "partial small subunit ribosomal RNA". It matches the Rfam family "Bacterial small subunit ribosomal RNA", at positions 524 to 776 of the family's 1533-position model. The record is from RNAcentral.
GACGUAGGAGGCGAGCGUUAUCCGGAUUUACUGGGCGUAAAGGGCAGGUAGGCGGUUGUCAAAGUUGGGCGUGACAGCUCCCGGCUCAACUGGGGGGUAGGCGUUCAAAACUAGGCGACUAGAGGGCAGGAGAGGGAAGUGGAAUUCCCAGUGUAGCGGUGGAAUGCUCAGAUAUUGGGAAGAACACCAGUGGCGAAGGCGGCUUCCUGGUCUGCACCUGACGCUGAGAGGCGAAAGCUAGGGGAGCGAACGGG